Molecule: non-coding RNA, 2524 nt
Organism: Nicotiana tabacum (common tobacco)
Lineage: Eukaryota; Viridiplantae; Streptophyta; Magnoliopsida; Solanales; Solanaceae
Source: RefSeq, a predicted model, not a curated record
CUACUUAUCUCUUUCGAGAUUUCAAGUUUUAAAUUUCUUCGAGUUUUAGUCAUCUUCCUCACUUUUCUUGAAAAGGUCUUGUUUAUCAAAAAAUCAAGCUCUAUCUUUGUCCAAUGGAUUCCGAGGAUCAACAUCUCUUAGAACGGUCACCAUCUUCCUCCCCUUCUGAUGCACAUGAGGAAGUUCCGACAAACGCCAAUAUAGAAAGGAAAGGUGGUGUGCAUUUCUCCUUUACCGAUGAAGAGGAGGACCACCAAGAAGCCGGACUUAGAAUCCAAAUCGGAAAGAACAUUUUCUAACAUAGUGCCUAAAGAAUUGACGAUAACGACUUCAACGUUAAAGAGAAGUCGGCGGGAGACCGAAACUCUCAUAUUUUCAUCUAUCCCACUCUUAUCAACACCGACGUCCUGCCUAGGAUUUGGACGGACUAUGGAUGGGAGGACCGGAAAUACCUUAUUCUCGAACUUCUAUGGGAGGGCGAGAGACUCACCAGCUAUCACCUUGGAUACUCGUUCAUCCCCACGUACGCGUUCUCUAUGGAGUUCCCUCUUUCCAUCGAUGACAUGGUUGACGAACUCUUGUGUUUGGUGUAGGUUAUGUGUGGCGCACGUCGGCCCUUAGAUUUGGAGGUUGGUCAUGUGUCUCCGCCAUCUAGCUGAAAAAGUUGGCGUUAGCCUCACUUUUCAGCAUCUCCUUCACCUUUACCCCCCAAGAUUUAUCGAGGGGGUGUAAUUAACAUGUCGCAGUGGGGCUCGAAGGCUCUAAUAUCAGACUAUGGGGACGACUUUUACUGUCUGUGUUUCAAACGAUACUUGCCAUCGUGGUGCCUCUCGAAAGAGUUUCCAACAUUGAAGGGUGGUCAUUUGCGAUCCUAUAAGUUUCAACCAACUUCUCGAGGACUUGGAAAUCCAUUGCUAGUAAGUUCGGUGGUAUUCGAGCGUUGUACUACGGGGUGGGACUCGAUAAGAGAGUCCCUUUUCAAUUACAUACCCUAGCUAGCCUCCUCUAUGAGGCCGAUGCCUCAAGGUUAAUUUGGGAACUUCUUAACUAAGUACCUGGGGGAUGGUGCCGACACUUCCAUGGUACCUCCCCUUCCUGUUAUCACCUGAAAUAGGUGAAUCUUCCAAAGGGGAAUAAUACAUGCUAGGGCUGAAGUGGAGGUUCCCCAUGUCAGUCCCAAGUUGCUCAAAAGGAAGUUAUCGAUAGGCCGGUUCGAUCCGAGCCCAUCGUGGUCAAUUUUGAUGAGGAUGCCUCUUGUCUCAUGGUUUUAAGGCCCGAGGAGGUAGUGAUGUUGAUCCCAUGAGAGGGAUUGAUUGUUGGAGAGCCCACUCAUAUUAAAGUGGGGAUGGCAGCUAUGCUUUCCUAAAGUUUAGAGGAUCGAUAACCCCUACCAACCCGCCUGCAGAUUAGAGGGUCCCUUCGACGGAUGGUUCCAAGGCUCGGGUCCCCGGGAGUUCUACGUGCCCACAAACUGGCAAUCAGAGGGUCACUAAUUUUUCUUUACCCAGCGGGGGAGGGGGGAUCUUCGUGAACCCUAGGCCCAUAGCCUCACAACUUGCAAAGUUACUAAACUAUCAACAGUGGGCUCAAGUAGAGUUUAUGAGUGUUGAGGCGCCGAUGAAUCAGAUAUCUUAUGAGACUGCUAAGGUUAGUUAUACCGAUCCUCUUUUUAUACUUGGGAUGUUAGAGAUAUCUUAAUUACUUUAUUAUAUUUUGAAACAACUCACUGCUCUAUCCUCGGGGAACCUAAAAAAGGUUCGAGUCGAUAUGUCCAUGGCCAAGAAUGUGGUGAUAAUGAUAAGAUAUUUAAGAUUGAAAAUGAGAAGCUCCACAAAAGAGAACGGGGAGCGCAAAGCUGAGGAGGCCCUCCUAGCGCGAACGGAAGCAAUAGAGAGAAGUGACGAUUAGAGGAUCAAGAAGUCUUAGCCAGCGAGGCUACCCUCCGAGCUGAGCGGAACAGGUUUUCCAAAAGAAUUCUAACCCUUGAAGUAGAUCUAGCCUCAAAGACGAGCACAGAGGCACGACCGAGGGAGUAUUUCUCUCGGUUAGAGUCUGAGCUUCGGGGCCUAAGAUCUAAAUGGGAGGCAAUUGAGGUGAGGUCUUUAGCCAAUAAACAAGAUCAGAAGUCUGUUCAAGAGGCCUUCGUGGACUUACAUAAGAUGAUGGUUUUCGACCAAGCCUGGGCAGCUGUGGAGACUCUUCUCAUCACCCUUCACGAGGAACAUAUCCGCGAGCUAGACAUUCCCUUUGUGAUUUCUCAACUUGAGCCCGAGAAAAGGGAGCUUCCGGGACUACUUGGUCUUCCUUAUCUUGAUACUCAGGGGAUAAGUAGGAAUUUAGACUAGGGAAGAGCUUAAACCUAAUUCCUCUGGCCCUUCGGCGACAACCAAUAUUGAACCGAACACACCUUCUACUUCCGCUUCCAAGCCCUAGGCCAUAGUUCAGGUCCCCGUAGUUCUCCUUAAAAGUUCUCUUGUACUUCCCUCCCCCCUCCCCCCCUUUUUCUUUAUAAAUAUGUAAAUAC